Aegilops tauschii subsp. strangulata is the source of this 1793-nucleotide non-coding RNA. The record is from RefSeq and is a predicted model, not a curated record. NCBI's taxonomy places the organism in Eukaryota, Viridiplantae, Streptophyta, Magnoliopsida, Poales, Poaceae.
CUAUGUGGGCCACACUGCCCUUCUCUCAUUAUUUAUGCGGUUCCGCUCUCCACUCUCCACUCAUCCGAAACCCCUUUCUCAUCAUCACUCUCCUCCUCUCCACCGCUCCCACACCCACCUCCGUCCCGUCGGCCAUGGACUCGGCAAAGAUCAAAGAAGAAGAAGAUUUGGGGAGUUCUAUCAGAAGCUUCUGGGAUGGGUAGUACGCACGGAGUGAGAGAUUGGCGGCGGAGAUAGCCGGCGGCAGUCGGCAGCGAGAUGUUCAGUCCAGUAGCACCAAUGUGCCUCGUACUAUAAGUAAUCCGCCCCGUCAUUGUUGGUACAACUGAUUUGCAUGCUAGGUUUUCUCAAAUCUUCCGUCAUUGCCGUAUUCAAAUAGGUAGAUUUAAGGUGGCUGUUCCAAUCUAGGCUGAUUUGCAUGCGAGGUUUUUUAUGCAGUUGUUCCUUUCAAAACCGCAUGGAAUUGGUCACAGUAGAUUAAUUUUAAAGCUACGCUUAAUCCUCAUCAACAAUUGAUACGGAUCUUCUUACCUUUGGAACGGAACCUUUAGAUUCGCCCCCAAGCACAUAGAACCGCCAAAUUCUUAGCCACUGCACUCUGAUGUACUAUUUGAAAUGAGGCAUAAUCCCCAAUAAGGAACUACCGUAACCACAGAAAUGCAUGAUUACGAUAUUAUAAUGGGGAUUUCUAAUAGCCAGUCACUGCCUAAAGAUUCGAUCAUAAUGUACUAAGUUGUAUGGUUUGUACUCUAACUAGUCCCAUGUUCUUGCGGAUUGCUAAAUGAAUACAGGAGGUUAAAAUGGAAAUGGAAGAACCAAACCAUGUGUUGGCAGCACCGCGCGUUUCAACGCUGGCGAAGACGACUGUACAGGGAUCGUUGCUAGCAGCUGAAUGUGAGAAGAAAAGACAGAGAGAUGUUUUGGCAGGUUGUACCAAGCAAGCAAGUGCCGCUACGCCCGCUGUUGAUUCAUCUCUCCAUGGACUUGCACGUUCUCCUGCUGCUCAUGUUGCUCCUGCUGCAGUGCUUCAUCAUUCUGCUUCAGCUCGUCCUGCUUCACCAGAACUCCCAGAACGACCUCACAACAAGCUGCUGAAGAACCUAUAUUCAGACAAGACAGUGAUUGUGGAUAUUCUCGGGGCACGCAAGAGUGAGUACAGGGGUAGGGCCUUCCCCUGAAAACUUGGCAUGUUCCUGAUGUUCAUACUCCUAGCCGUUUUACGGUUCAGAUAGAUUUAGAUCAGAAUCUUCAAUUGUUCGUGUUGCCGAAAGGAGUCGAGAAAUUCUUCAAGGGCAUAGUCCAUCGGUGCAUAAAUUUGCGCACAAGCCAUCAUUGCCACUGGAACGUACAUUUGAGCCGCUAUGAGGAGAAACUAGUCUUCAAUGAUGUCAAAGCUGGUUGGCGGAAGUUUGCAGAUCACCAUGAUCUCAGGAAUGGUGACAUCCUCACCUUCACCGUGGUUGAUGCGAACAAGCUAGAUGUGAAGAUCUACAGCACAGCGGACUCGAUGCAGAAGAAUAUGGAGUAUCGUGAGCACAAAUAGUUUGCUAUCUCGCCUCGUACAUGGUGAAGUGAAGUUUACUGUCAGCAGUGAUAAAAUGGUCUUUUGCGUUCACCACCUGCAGUGAUUCAGUGAUCUUUAGAACUAUGUUUGUUUGUUACCAUACCUUUAGGUUUUAUCAUGAACUAUGUUGGUCUGCUACCUUACCUUUUGUUUGUAUCAUGAGCCUGUCCCUAAAUCUAUUUAAGAGUCUAACUAUAUGUUCUCAUCUUUGGUCAAAUCUUUAAGCCUA